Non-coding RNA from Acanthosepion pharaonis, 106 nucleotides. NCBI's taxonomy places the organism in Eukaryota, Metazoa, Mollusca, Cephalopoda, Sepiida, Sepiidae. The record is from the annotation of a GenBank genome assembly.
UACGGCCACAUAAUGUUGAAACAUUGGUUCCUGUACGAUCACCGAAGUUAAGCAACCUGGUCAGUACCUAGAUGGGUGACCACUUGGGAAUAUCAGGGGUUGUAAG